Molecule: long non-coding RNA, 702 nt
Filed under: Sorghum bicolor (sorghum)
Lineage: Eukaryota; Viridiplantae; Streptophyta; Magnoliopsida; Poales; Poaceae
Description: long non-coding RNA (SBIC_LNC018621)
Source: RNAcentral
GAGAGACAUGCAUGAUAUUUGAUAUUUUUUUAUUUUUCCUAGCAAUUUAGAUUGAUUUUUUACCCAACUUACUUGGCUCAUAUGGACUCUAAUUAAUUUGUAUAUUUACCUUGUCAUUUUUGGUUCAUAGCUCUUUUAUGUUAUUUUUAAGCUCUAAGUCUAGAAUAAUAUACAUUUGUACAAAAAAUCAGACAGUUCCUUCAAUAUUUAUAUGUGAAAUAAUAUCUUGGUGCAAAUAUACCUUUUCUUUUCAAAGACCACAUUUUAGGUCAUGGAUGUAUACAAAAAGAAGACAUGAAUCUUCCUAGAUAGAAGAUGUGAAUGGCUUUAUUGAAGCCGUUAAAAGACACACUUUCAUUAAGCAGACAAAACAUAUAUAUUAUUCCUGUUGUGACUGUUGGAACUGUAUAGGAUACCAUGAUCCAAAUAUGAUAAAAUCACACUAAGUAAGAAGGGGUUUUAUGGAGAACUACACAAUCUGGGAUCAUCAUGGUGAGAGACGUAUAGAAGCAAAGCAACUAGGAACUAGGAAGUGAUUGGACAUUAGAAGUAAGUGAAGAUUAUUGUGGUGGUGACAUCGGCUUUGGUGGGAAGGAUGAUGGUUGAAAGCAUCUAGGCCUCUAGUGGGUUCCAGUGAUUAAUGACAAUCUAAGAUUAUUAUGAGUAACAUGUGUUUUGCAGAGGCAACUUGAGUUAGGUCAG